ACCAUAGUAGGAUUCGUAACUUCGCUUGCGGAUUGUUCUGGUUUAAAGAAGCGCUCAAUUCCAUAAUAUAAGACCGGAAGUUUUAAACAGCUAAAUCCUCAGAGGUGCGCUAUCAGUAGGAUGGGACAUGAGCUUUUUUCAGUUUAUCCUGAGAAAGUGACACAACGAUUUGACUACUAUGAGAUACAUACGUUUCUUGAUUUUGUUAUUACUAAAUGCCAUACAUGCUGCUAAAAGUCACUUGGAUCUGGCCUGGGCUAAAGGAUCCAUCAAGAACAGAUCAAGCCGGGAUGUUUCCUGCAGAGAGGGCAUGGAGUAUGAACAUGAUAACAUCUGCUGCCUGAACUGCCCUGCUGGAACAUAUGUGAAAAAGGCCUGUCUUACUCCUUCAGAAAAAGGAGUGUGUGAGCCGUGCGAGUUUGACAGAUACACUGAGCAUGACAAUGGACUGCGGAAGUGUUUAUCAUGCACCAAGUGCCGUAUAGAUCAGGAAACCACAGAGAAAUGCACAAAUACCCAGAACACACAGUGCAAGUGCAAACAGGGUUCAUUUUGUUUACCUGACCAAGCAUGUGAGGUGUGCAAGAAAUGCAGUAGGUAUGUUCUAAAUGUACCAUUUCAUUAACACUUAGGUUUUGGUCAAAAAAAGUGUCAUGUUAAUCAAGCUGGAUC
Long non-coding RNA from Sinocyclocheilus rhinocerous, 672 nucleotides. RefSeq lists it as uncharacterized. The transcript has 4 exons. Lineage: Eukaryota; Metazoa; Chordata; Actinopteri; Cypriniformes; Cyprinidae. The record is from RefSeq and is a predicted model, not a curated record.